Molecule: ribosomal RNA, 461 nt
Filed under: uncultured bacterium
Lineage: Bacteria
Description: bacterial SSU rRNA
Rfam family: Bacterial small subunit ribosomal RNA
Source: RNAcentral
AGCGAACGGCUGGCUGCAUGCUUAACACAUGCAAGUCGAACGAGAGGGAAACCUCUAGUGGCGAACGGGUGAGUAAUAUAUAGGAAUCUACCUAGUAGUGUGGAAUAAUUAUUGGAAACGAUAACUAAUACCGCAUAAUCCGGAGACGGGAAAGGUGCAAAUCGCUAUUAGAUGAGCCUAUAUCCGAUUAGCUAGUUGGUGGGGUAAAGGCCUACCAAGGCUGUGAUCGGUAGCCGGUCUGAGAGGAUGAUCGGCCACACUGGGACUGAGACACGGCCCAGACUCCUACGGGAGGCAGCAGUGGGGAAUUUUGGACAAUGGGCGAAAGCCUGAUCCAGCAAUGCCGCGUGCAGGACGAAGGCCUUCGGGUUGUAAACUGCUUUUGUACGGAACGAAAAGGUAGCUCCUAAUACGAGCUGCUGAUGACGGUACCGUAAGAAUAAGCACCGGCUAACUACGUG